Molecule: long non-coding RNA, 234 nt
Filed under: Solanum tuberosum (potato)
Lineage: Eukaryota; Viridiplantae; Streptophyta; Magnoliopsida; Solanales; Solanaceae
Description: long non-coding RNA (STUB_LNC002859)
Source: RNAcentral
UCUUUCGGGGAUUUGAAGUUUCAAAACCUUAAUAUUAAUUUUUAACAAAUAAGCACGUAAUAGCAGUUAAAUGAGUAGGGAAAGAGAAUUUGGGCCCAAGUCUGGAUCUGUCCGCCUGGGCCAGUACUUGGGCCUAUUUCGUUUUAGGCCAAAGGCCCAUUUGAGUCAUCCGCACCUAUGCUGAACUAACAUCAAAAUAAGAUAUCAUUUGGGCCUUGGGCCCAAUUUUUCACC